CAAAAUUGAGUGAAUUAAUUUGUUUACCUAUAUACCAUUAUUUAAAUAGUCAUAUAUGUAUGUAUGUUCAGUUCUUAUCCUACACCAAUUAUGUAGGAAUGUGUACUAAUUAAUGCAAAAUUUCAACGCAACCUUUUAUAAAGAUAAAACAAUUCACACUGAAAAAAUAUCAAGGCAUAACAUCUAUAUUGCAUCCGUAUCAAAAAGGAUUUUUUUUUUUAACAUGAAUAAAAACAGAAACCUAAAAAAAAUACUUUGCCACUAACCUUUAAGUCCUCCUUAUGUACUCCCACUAUAGUUAACUAUCAUUAUCAGUCAACUAUUAAAAAAUACAUAAUCUAGGUGACAGACAUGAAAAAAAUACUUUAUUCAGAUUUUUUUUUCUAUCUCAGAGUAAAAUUGACAAAGAGAAAAAAAAGGAAAGGUACCUGAAGCAACUAGAAUGAAAGCGAUUUCAUUCUUGCUUUGCUCCUUCGCCUCAACUUUAUCAUCUAGAGACACAAACGCGGGCUUUUCCAACGGAGACCUUUGAAGUAUGGAGGCAACUUGAACGAAAUGGCUAUUUUACAUUUGUCACAUUAUUAAUAACUUGAAAAAAGCACAACACCAAGCACGCAAAAUAGCAAAUUAAACCACGGUUGAACAGAUAAAAAAAUCAGGAGAACCGUAACACCCCAGAAAAAUCAUGGCUCUUACAAAAACGAAAAAAAAAAAACCCUUUUUCUAUGCCUUCCCUUCAUCUCCACCCUCAAAACGCCAAGCUUUUUCCUGUUUCCAAACCCAUCAACGUGAGAUAAAAACCAAAACUUUCGUCUUAACAUCAAAUCCAGCCACAUGCAACAAUUGAUAAUGGAGUCCUAAUAUACCAAUUAAUCGAAACAUGAAACUAGAUAACAUAUCUAUAGGAGUCGGAGAUAAGACUAUACGAUGUUUGGCUUUUCCAGUAGAGACCUUCGAAGUAUGGAGGCAACUUGAAUGAAAUGGCUACUUUACAUUUGUCACAUUAUUAAUAACUUGAAAGAAAGCACAACACCAAGCACACAAAAUAGCAAAUCAAACUACGGUUUUGAACAGAUAAAAAAUCAGGGAACUAUAACACCCUUUGUUUGAUGCCUUCCCUUCAUCUCCACUCCAAAACGCCAUCUUUGCAAACUUUUCCUUUUUCCCAAACCCAUCAACGUGAGAUAAAGACCAAAACUUUCAUCGUUAACAUCGAAUCCAGCACAUGCAACAAUUGAUAAUGGAGCAUCAAUAUGCCAAUUAAUCAAAACAUGAAACUAGAUAACAUACCUAUAAGAGUCGGAGACAAGGCUAUGCGAUGCUCCGAUGACGAAGCUGCUGGGUUUCCUCCUCUCGUUUUUCUCGGUUUUGGGCUUAUGUUUCGAAUGAAAUGGGGAGAAAAGUUUUGAUCUUUCACUCGAGUUAAUUUGAUAGUAUUUUUGGAUGUUAAUCUACUAGACAAAAAUUAUAUUUUAAUUGAUAUAAAUGUAGAUGAGAGAGGUUAGGGAUUUGAUUUAGAAAAAACGGAAAUGAAUUUUGGAAAUGAAAUUAAUUACUACAAGUAUGGAGAAAAAGGUUGAGUGAUAAGUAUGUUAUUGAUAAGCAG
This 1606-nucleotide long non-coding RNA is filed under the name Arachis ipaensis. RNAcentral describes it as "long non-coding RNA (AIPA_LNC002573)". The record is from RNAcentral. Lineage: Eukaryota; Viridiplantae; Streptophyta; Magnoliopsida; Fabales; Fabaceae.